UACGGGGGAGCAAGCGUUGUUCGGAUUUACUGGGCGUAAAGGGCGCGUAGGCGGUCGUGACAAGUCACUUGUGAAAUCUCCGGGCUUAACUCGGAACGGUCAAGUGAUACUGUCGGACUAGAGUACAGAAGGGCAACUGGAAUUCUCGGUGUAGCGGUGAAAUGCGUAGAUAUCGAGAGGAACACCUGCGGCGAAGGCGGUUGCUGGCUGAUACUGACGCUGAGGCGCGAAAGCCAGGGAGCGAACGGG
This 249-nucleotide ribosomal RNA is filed under the name uncultured bacterium. Its description in RNAcentral is "partial 16S ribosomal RNA". It matches the Rfam family "Bacterial small subunit ribosomal RNA", at positions 524 to 776 of the family's 1533-position model. The record is from RNAcentral.